AGAGUGAACGCUGGCGGCAUGCCUAACACAUGCAAGUCGAACGGGAGUAGCAAUACUCUAGUGGCGGACGGGUGAGGAAUACGUAGGAAUUUGCCCUUAAGUGGGGGAUAACCCGGGAAACCCGGAUUAAUACCGCAUGACCUCGAAAGAGCAAAGUGGGGAUCGCAAGACCUCACGCUUUUGGAGAAGCCUACGUCGGAUUAGCUAGUUGGUGAGGUAAUGGCUCACCAAGGCGACGAUCCGUAACUGGUCUGAGAGGAUGAUCAGUCACACGGAACUGAGACACGGUCCGACUCCGUACGGGAGCAGCGAGGUGGGAAUAGUUAGGACAAGUGGGCG
Molecule: ribosomal RNA, 339 nt
Filed under: uncultured soil bacterium
Lineage: Bacteria
Description: bacterial SSU rRNA
Rfam family: Bacterial small subunit ribosomal RNA
Source: RNAcentral